This is a non-coding RNA of Rattus norvegicus (Norway rat), 834 nucleotides long. Lineage: Eukaryota; Metazoa; Chordata; Mammalia; Rodentia; Muridae. The record is from RefSeq and is a predicted model, not a curated record.
UGGGAACAGUCGACUGAGUCAACGUGGGGUUUUGUUUCAGUUUGGCCGCGUUCGUUUUGAUUUAUUUCCAUGGUAGACUUUGAAAGAAUUGAGCACAUUCGUUGGCCUUUUAGGGGCCUCUGUCUUCAGUAGCGAAGUCUGGGGAGAGUGUGUAAAUAGGUGUCUCGCACAGCGUCCAGGCAUACUUAGAAUGCAGACUCACGACUUCACUGUGAAGUCAUGCCUUGGUCAUAGUGACAACAUGAUGGCUGUGAACAGAACGGAGAAAUGCAUUAGUGAGGACCGAUGCUGUGGCAAGAGCACCACCCGGGCUUGUACGGUUUGCGUGGGGCAGUGAACUGAAUUCAUUUGAGUGUUGUAGGAAGAGGGAGGAGGAUGACGUCACAGCAACAAAGGGCAUCUUAACCUAAACCUUACUGUCAUCCAGUCCCGACGAUAACGUCUAAGUUCCCAACCUAAAAUCUUUACACGCUGAAACUGCUGUCUCCGUGCUACUUUUAGCAAUUUUCAGAACCGUCUUUCAGAAGAACCGAACUGCUUCAUCUUUGGCGAUGGCUUUUGCCCAUGGAAAUCAUUGUAACUGCAAUUGGAGACCUGAAGUCAAAUCCAAAUUCUUGACGGUUUCCUAGCUGAAUGGGCCACAGGAAGACCCACCACGCCUGAGCCCGGAGUCUCCGUGUCUACAAAGGUUAUACCAACGCUCAUCUUCCCUACUUUCAUUCCAUUCAGAGAAUUUUCUUUUUGAUUCUUCGAGAAGCCACCAUCCUUGGGAUUUACAAAUGUUCUACUGCUUCUAACUCCUGAUCAGUGUGAUAAAGACAUUUGUUUCCCCAA